This is a long non-coding RNA of Talpa occidentalis (Iberian mole), 671 nucleotides long. RefSeq lists it as uncharacterized. The record is from RefSeq and is a predicted model, not a curated record. The transcript is spliced from 3 exons. NCBI's taxonomy places the organism in Eukaryota, Metazoa, Chordata, Mammalia, Eulipotyphla, Talpidae.
AGCUGCAGGUAUUACCCGCUCUGCGGAGGACGACGGCGCCGCCGAGCCGCGAGGGACUUUCCGCUGUAGGAAGUGCACCCUGAAGUUCCAGAUGGAGGUAAGCUGGCCGUACAGUUGUCAUCUUACUCCCCUAGCGGGGUGAUACCAUCUUGGGGCAGGAGGGGCAAAAGGCGAACAAGAAUCCAGAGAAGGAAGAGCACAGAAGCCAAAGGAGAUCAGGUCAGAACGAGAACUCAGAAGUAAGUAGAUGAUGAGCCUGGAGAUUGCAGAAGAACUGGAAGAAAACCAACCUUUAAGUGUCAGCAGCUCCCCGGGGCACAGGGGACCAUCACCGUCUUCAUCAACAACACCCUCUCAUUUAUUGAGGGUCUACUACGCGCUAAGGAUGGUGCAGGACUCUACACAUUACUCUGGUAAUCCUCCCAGCAGCCCUUUGAGUGGCAGGCUGAACCCCCAUUUUAGAGGUGAGGAAGCUGAGAUGCCCAAGAUGAGCUGAUUUCCCAAGGCUCCACAGAUACUAAGCAGCAGAGCAGGAUCUGUCUGGAGCCAAGUCACCGGCCACUGCGCUUUGCCCCUCGUGCAAAACCCACGACUGUCGCCGCCCAGCCCCGGCCCUGGCAGCACUUCCUAGCAGCAUCUGCUCCGAUGUUUUUCACGCAGCGGGAUUAUUU